CAUAUAUGGGUGAUAAAGAUGUUAACAACGAACGAACACAUACCGUAUUCAUUUGGCAAACACGAAGACAGUAGCAACAUUCAUUAAUUGAUGCAAUUUCUAGGCAUACAGUGAACAACUCCAUUGUAGCAAACAUCUUAAUUUUUAGCCCAGUAACUUCCCUAAUUACAAAAGAUUUGAUUUUUUUUUCUGCUCCUUCCCGGAAUUGAACCUGGGUUUGCGCCGCCAGAGCCUGACACUUUGCGCGCUGGACCACACCGCUUUCUUGUGACCCAUUGUGCAGUCAAAGUAUUUAAGCUACGUCGCGGAUGCAUACAAUCCUUAAUAGAUCGAAAACUAUUAGUUUGCGACUCCUACGUGUAUAAGUGAAAAUUAAUUGUUCCUUCGAGAUCUACGGGUACCUCUUGGUUUAAAGCUCAUCCAAUGUCAUGGCCUUCGACCUCGAAUUUUCCAUAAACGGACAAAUAUCUGUAUAAUUGCCCAAACAUGACUGAAUCUAAUAGUAUAUUCACAAAAAAUAGAAAUAGUUUUUGUCGCUUUUGUGAAGAAGUUACAAUAGACAUACAGAAAUACAACAAAGUUCACAGUGAAUAUAAUGGGGAUUAAUAAAUUUGAAUAAACCAAACCCAAUUAUUUGCUCUGCCGCGGUAAAAUAUCUUGUUGACCAAUUAAACGCACCGAGGGACGUUUCCUUGUAAGUUAUCAGAUAUAGCGGGCUUUGACCUGUUGAAAUCGCUGAUCGAAUGAGAGAUUAGCCUCUCAAGGAAGCGAUAAUACGUUGCUUCUGAUAAGCAACUGGUCCAACUUUUCGGGACACACCGAUUUAUUUUACGAAAGCAGGUUGUAUGAAUUACAAAUAAAUUGAUACUAUUCGAUAAUGUA
Hylaeus anthracinus is the source of this 882-nucleotide long non-coding RNA. RefSeq lists it as uncharacterized. The transcript is spliced from 3 exons. Lineage: Eukaryota; Metazoa; Arthropoda; Insecta; Hymenoptera; Colletidae. The record is from RefSeq and is a predicted model, not a curated record.